RNAcentral lists this ribosomal RNA (1401 nucleotides) under Pediococcus pentosaceus. RNAcentral's name for it is "bacterial SSU rRNA". It matches the Rfam family "Bacterial small subunit ribosomal RNA", at positions 61 to 1432 of the family's 1533-position model. Lineage: Bacteria; Bacillati; Bacillota; Bacilli; Lactobacillales; Lactobacillaceae. The record is from RNAcentral.
GUUAAUUGAUUAUGACGUACUUGUACUGAUUGAGAUUUUAACACGAAGUGAGUGGCGAACGGGUGAGUAACACGUGGGUAACCUGCCCAGAAGUAGGGGAUAACACCUGGAAACAGAUGCUAAUACCGUAUAACAGAGAAAACCGCAUGGUUUUCUUUUAAAAGAUGGCUCUGCUAUCACUUCUGGAUGGACCCGCGGCGUAUUAGCUAGUUGGUGAGGUAAAGGCUCACCAAGGCAGUGAUACGUAGCCGACCUGAGAGGGUAAUCGGCCACAUUGGGACUGAGACACGGCCCAGACUCCUACGGGAGGCAGCAGUAGGGAAUCUUCCACAAUGGACGCAAGUCUGAUGGAGCAACGCCGCGUGAGUGAAGAAGGGUUUCGGCUCGUAAAGCUCUGUUGUUAAAGAAGAACGUGGGUAAGAGUAACUGUUUACCCAGUGACGGUAUUUAACCAGAAAGCCACGGCUAACUACGUGCCAGCAGCCGCGGUAAUACGUAGGUGGCAAGCGUUAUCCGGAUUUAUUGGGCGUAAAGCGAGCGCAGGCGGUCUUUUAAGUCUAAUGUGAAAGCCUUCGGCUCAACCGAAGAAGUGCAUUGGAAACUGGGAGACUUGAGUGCAGAAGAGGACAGUGGAACUCCAUGUGUAGCGGUGAAAUGCGUAGAUAUAUGGAAGAACACCAGUGGCGAAGGCGGCUGUCUGGUCUGCAACUGACGCUGAGGCUCGAAAGCAUGGGUAGCGAACAGGAUUAGAUACCCUGGUAGUCCAUGCCGUAAACGAUGAUUACUAAGUGUUGGAGGGUUUCCGCCCUUCAGUGCUGCAGCUAACGCAUUAAGUAAUCCGCCUGGGGAGUACGACCGCAAGGUUGAAACUCAAAAGAAUUGACGGGGGCCCGCACAAGCGGUGGAGCAUGUGGUUUAAUUCGAAGCUACGCGAAGAAACCUUACCAGGUCUUGACAUCUUCUGACAGUCUAAGAGAUUAGAGGUUCCCUUCGGGGACAGAAUGACAGGUGGUGCAUGGUUGUCGUCAGCUCGUGUCGUGAGAUGUUGGGUUAAGUCCCGCAACGAGCGCAACCCUUAUUACUAGUUGCCAGCAUUAAGUUGGGCACUCUAGUGAGACUGCCGGUGACAAACCGGAGGAAGGUGGGGACGACGUCAAAUCAUCAUGCCCCUUAUGACCUGGGCUACACACGUGCUACAAUGGAUGGUACAACGAGUCGCGAGACCGCGAGGUUAAGCUAAUCUCUUAAAACCAUUCUCAGUUCGGACUGUAGGCUGCAACUCGCCUACACGAAGUCGGAAUCGCUAGUAAUCGCGGAUCAGCAUGCCGCGGUGAAUACGUUCCCGGGCCUUGUACACACCGCCCGUCACACCAUGAGAGUUUGUAACACCCAAAGCCGGUG